This 468-nucleotide ribosomal RNA is filed under the name uncultured bacterium. Its description in RNAcentral is "partial 16S ribosomal RNA". It matches the Rfam family "Bacterial small subunit ribosomal RNA", at positions 28 to 507 of the family's 1533-position model. The record is from RNAcentral.
GAUGAACGCUGGCGGCGUGCCUAACACAUGCAAGUCGAACGGAAAGGCCCUGCUUUUGCUGGGUGCUCGAGUGGCGAACGGGUGAGUAACACGCGAGUAACCUGCCCCUGACUUUGGGAUAACUUCAGGAAACUGGGGCUAAUACCGGAUAGGAGCUCUUGCUGCAUGGUGGGGGUUGGAAAGUUUCGGCGGUUGGGGAUGGACUCGCGGCUUAUCAGCUUGUUGGUGAGGUAGUGGCUUACCAAGGUUUUGACGGGUAGCCGGCCUGAGAGGGUUACCGGCGACAUUGGGACUGAGAGACGGAGCAGACUCCUACGGGAGGCAGCAGGGGAGAGUAUGACACAGUAAGCGGGAGCCUGAUGCAGCGGCGCCGCGUGCGGAAUGACGGCCUUCGAGUUGUGAACCGCUGUCGCAUGAGACAAAGCGGGAGUGACGGUAAUGGAUAAAAAAGCACCGGCUAACUACGUG